CGAGGUGUAGCGCAGUUUGGUAGCGCACCUGGUUUGGGACCAGGGGGCCGGAGGUUCGAAUCCUCUCACCUCGACCA
This 77-nucleotide transfer RNA is filed under the name Acetobacterium paludosum. RNAcentral describes it as "tRNA-Pro". It matches the Rfam family "tRNA". From Rfam's summary of the family: Transfer RNA (tRNA) molecules are approximately 80 nucleotides in length. Their secondary structure includes four short double-helical elements and three loops (D, anti-codon, and T loops). RNAcentral also lists the same sequence under 1 other name. The record is from RNAcentral. Lineage: Bacteria; Bacillati; Bacillota; Clostridia; Eubacteriales; Eubacteriaceae.